CGCUCAUGACAACGGGGACGGGACAAAGGGACCAGGCGUGACACUGCUUCCACCUUUAGUGGGGACACGGGGACAGGACGGGGACACGGGGACGGGGAUGGGGACAUGGGGACGGGGAUGGGGAUACGGGGAUGGGGACACGGGGACAGGGAUGGGGACAUGGGGAUGGGGACAAGGGGACGGGAUGGGGACAGGGACAUUGGGAUGGGGACACGGGGGAUGGGGACAGGGCAGGGACAUUGGGAUGGGGACACGGGGACACCACGGGGUUGGGGACACGGGGACGGGGCCACGGGGCCACCACGGGUUCCGUCCCUACGACAGGUCCAGCAGCUCCUCCGAGUGUCCCCAACCUGCACAGGGGACACGGUGAGGGACGGGGACGGGGCCGUGUCCCCGCGUGUCCCCCCACGUCCCCGCUGUCCCCAUACCGCGGCUGCCGCUGUCCCCGAUGUCCCCAAGGUCCUCCUCGCUCCAGCUCCUCCCCGCGCUCCUCGGACACCCCCGGCACCGGGGACGUGUCCCCAGUCCUCGGGGACGUGUCCCCAAUCCUCGGGACCACGUCCCCAGCCUUCGGGGAAAUGUCCCCAGUCCUUGGGGACGUCCUUGGGGACCUGUCCCCGGUCUUUGGGGCCACAUCCCCGGUCCUUGGGGACCUGUCUCAGGUCCUUCAGGUCCUUGGGGACGUGUCCCCGGUCCUUGGGGACGUGACCCCAAACCUUGGGGACGUGACCCUGGUCCUUGGGGACGUGACCCUGAUCCUUCAGGUCCUUGGGGAACGUGUCCCCAACCCUUGGGGCCACAUCCCAGGUCCUUGGGGACGCGUCCCCGGUCUUUGGGGCCACAUCCUCAGUCCUUGGGGCCACGUCCCCAGUCCUCGGGGACCCAUCCCUGGUCCUUGGGGACCUGUCCCCAACCCCUGGGGACGCGUCCCCGGUCUUUGGGGCCACAUCUCCGGUCCUCGGGGCCACGACCCCAAUCCUUGGGGACGUGUCCCCGGUCCUUGGGGACCCAUCUCAGGUCCUUCAGGUCUUUGGGGACCCAUCCCUGGCCCUUGGGGACCCGUCCCUGUCCCUUGGGGAUGUGUCCCCAACCCUUGGGGCCACAUCCCCGGUCCUUGGGGACCCGUCCCCAGUCCUUCGGGUCCUUGGGGACGCGUCCCCGGUCUUUGGGGCCACAUCCCCAGUCCUUGGGGCCACAUCCCUGGUCCUUGGGGACGUGUCCCCAGUCCUUGGGGACGUGUCCCCAAUCCUUGGGGACCCAUCCCUGGACCUUGGGGACGUGUCCCCAAUCCUUGGGGACCCAUCCCUGGACCUUGGGGUCCUGUCCCCAGUCCUUGGGGACCCGAUCCUGGUCCUUGGGGUCCUGUCCCCAGUCCUUGGGGACCCAUCCCUGGACCUUGGGGACCCGUCCCCAAUCUUUGGGGACCCGUUCCCGGUCCUUGGGGUCCUGUCCCCAGUCCUUGGGGUCCUGUCCCCAAUCCUUGGGGACCCGUCCCCGGUCCUUGGGGCAUUGUCCCCGAGCUGGGGGGUGGCCCCGAUGUCCCCGAGCCGGCGGGUGGCCCUGGGGACAUCGUUGUCCCCAAGGAGCCGGGUGGCAGCAGGUGCAGCAAGCGGAGCAGCGAGGCCAGCGCCUGUCCCCAGGGCUGCUUGGGGACGGGGACGGGGACACCGGCGGGGCCGCGCUCGGCCGAGGCUGUAGGGAGGUGGCACGGGGGGGGGGGACAAGUCCCUUUGUGUCCCCACAGCCCCUCCGUGCCACAUCCCCAUGUCCCCAAUGUCCCCCCAUGUCCCCCAUGUCCCCAAUGUCCCCCAUGUCCCCCAUGUCCCCCAUGUCCCCAAUGUCCCCAAUGUCCCCCCGACAUCCCCAAUGUUCCCACAUGUCCCCAAUCCCCCCCAUGUNNNNNNNNNNNNNNNNNNNNNNNNNNNNNNNNNNNNNNNNNNNNNNNNNNNNNNNNNNNNNNNNNNNN
Anser cygnoides (Swan goose) is the source of this 1969-nucleotide long non-coding RNA. NCBI's taxonomy places the organism in Eukaryota, Metazoa, Chordata, Aves, Anseriformes, Anatidae. The record is from Ensembl.